This 505-nucleotide ribosomal RNA is filed under the name uncultured bacterium. RNAcentral describes it as "partial 16S ribosomal RNA". It matches the Rfam family "Bacterial small subunit ribosomal RNA", at positions 28 to 507 of the family's 1533-position model. The record is from RNAcentral.
GACGAACGCUGGCGGCGUGCCUAAUACAUGCAAGUAGAACGCACAGUUUAUACCGUAGCUUGCUACACCAUAGACUGUGAGUUGCGAACGGGUGAGUAACGCGUAGGUAACCUGCCUGGUAGCGGGGGAUAACUAUUGUAAACGAUAGCUAAUACCGCAUAAUAUUAAUUAUUGCAUGAUAAUUAAUUGAAAGGUGCAAUUGCACCACUACCAGAUGGACCUGCGUUGUAUUAGCUAGUAGGUGAGGUAACGGCUCACCUAGGCGACGAUACAUAGCCGACCUGAGAGGGUGAUCGGCCACACUGGGACUGAGACACGGCCCAGACUCCUACGGGAGGCAGCAGUAGGGAAUCUUCGGCAAUGGACGAAAGUCUGACCGAGCAACGCCGCGUGAGUGAAGAAGGUUUUCGGAUCGUAAAGCUCUGUUGUAAGAGAAGAACGGGUGUGAGAGUGGAAAGUUCACACUGUGACGGUAUCUGACCAGAAAGGGACGGCUAACUACGUG